GUUACCUCACCGACUUCGGGUGUUACAAACUCUCGUGGUGUGACGGGCGGUGUGUACAAGGCCCGGGAACGUAUUCACCGCGGCGUGCUGAUCCGCGAUUACUAGCGAUUCCGGCUUCAUGCAGGCGAGUUGCAGCCUGCAAUCCGAACUGAGAGAAGCUUUAAGAGAUUUGCAUGACCUCGCGGUCUAGCGACUCGUUGUACUUCCCAUUGUAGCACGUGUGUAGCCCAGGUCAUAAGGGGCAUGAUGAUUUGACGUCAUCCCCACCUUCCUCCGGUUUGUCACCGGCAGUCUCGCUAGAGUGCCCAACUAAAUGAUGGCAACUAACAAUAAGGGUUGCGCUCGUUGCGGGACUUAACCCAACAUCUCACGACACGAGCUGACGACAACCAUGCACCACCUGUCACUUUGUCCCCGAAGGGAAAGCUCUAUCUCUAGAGUGGUCAAAGGAUGUCAAGACCUGGUAAGGUUCUUCGCGUUGCUUCGAAUUAAACCACAUGCUCCACCGCUUGUGCGGGCCCCCGUCAAUUCCUUUGAGUUUCAACCUUGCGGUCGUACUCCCCAGGCGGAGUGCUUAAUGCGUUUGCUGCAGCACUGAAGGGCGGAAACCCUCCAACACUUAGCACUCAU
RNAcentral lists this ribosomal RNA (630 nucleotides) under Enterococcus sp. UFLA CWFB9. RNAcentral describes it as "partial 16S ribosomal RNA". Lineage: Bacteria; Bacillati; Bacillota; Bacilli; Lactobacillales; Enterococcaceae. The record is from RNAcentral.